AGAGUUUGAUCCUGGCUCAGGACGAACGCUGGCGGCGCGCCUAACACAUGCAAGUCGAACGAGCGAGAGAGAGCUUGCUUUCUCGAGCGAGUGGCGAACGGGUGAGUAAUGCGUGAGGAACCUGCCUCAAAGAGGGGGACAACAGUUGGAAACGACUGCUAAUACCGCAUAAGCCCACGGGUCGGCAUCGACCAGAGGGAAAAGGAGCAAUCCGCUUUGAGAUGGCCUCGCGUCCGAUUAGCUAGUUGGUGAGGUAACGGCCCACCAAGGCGACGAUCGGUAGCCGGACUGAGAGGUUGAACGGCCACAUUGGGACUGAGACACGGCCCAGACUCCUACGGGAGGCAGCAGUGGGGAAUAUUGCACAAUGGGGGAAACCCUGAUGCAGCGACGCCGCGUGGAGGAAGAAGGUCUUCGGAUUGUAAACUCCUGUUGUUGAGGAAGAUAAUGACGGUACUCAACAAGGAAGUGACGGCUAACUACGUGCCAGCAGCCGCGGUAAAACGUAGGUCACAAGCGUUGUCCGGAAUUACUGGGUGUAAAGGGAGCGCAGGCGGGAAGACAAGUUGGAAGUGAAAUCCAUGGGCUUAACCCAUGAACUGCUUUCAAAACUGUUUUUCUUGAGUAGUGCAGAGGUAGGCGGAAUUCCCGGUGUAGCGGUGGAAUGCGUAGAUAUCGGGAGGAACACCAGUGGCGAAGGCGGCCUACUGGGCACCAACUGACGCCGAAGCUCGAAAGUGCGGGUAUCGAACAGGAUUAGAUACCCUGGUAGUCCGCACGGUAAACGAUGGAUGCCCGCUGUUGGUCUGAACAGGUCAGCGGCCAAGCGAAAGCAUUAAGCAUCCCACCUGGGGAGUACGCCGGCAACGGUGAAACUCAAAGGAAUUGACGGGGGCCCGCACAAGCGGAGGAACAUGUGGUUUAAUUCGAUGAUACGCGAGGAACCUUACCCGGGCUUGAAUUGCAGAGGAAGGAUUUGGAGACAAUGACGCCCUUCGGGGUCUCUGUGAAGGUGCUGCAUGGUUGUCGUCAGCUCGUGCCGUGAGGUGUCGGCUUAAGUGCCAUAACGAGCGCAACCCCUCUCCUUAGUUGCCAUCAGGUUAAGCUGGGCACUCUGGGGACACUGCCACCGUAAGGUGUGAGGAAGGUGGGGAUGACGUCAAAUCAGCACGGCCCUUACGUCCGGGGCUACACACGUGUUACAAUGGCAGGUACAGAGAGACGGUUGUACGUAAGUACGAUCAAAUCCUUAAAGCCUGUCUCAGUUCGGACUGGGGUCUGCAACCCGACCCCACGGAGCUGGAUUCGCUAGUAAUCGCGCAUCAGCCAUGGCGCGGUGAAUACGUUCCCGGGCCUUGUACACACCGCCCGUCAAGCCAUGAACGCCGGGGGCGCCUAAAGUCCGUGACCGUAAGGAGCGGCCUAGGGCGAAACUGGUAAUUGGGGCUAAGUCGUAACAAGGUA
Molecule: ribosomal RNA, 1464 nt
Filed under: metagenome
Description: bacterial SSU rRNA
Rfam family: Bacterial small subunit ribosomal RNA
Source: RNAcentral